RNAcentral lists this ribosomal RNA (165 nucleotides) under uncultured Bacillus sp. Its description in RNAcentral is "partial 16S ribosomal RNA". It matches the Rfam family "Bacterial small subunit ribosomal RNA", at positions 367 to 528 of the family's 1533-position model. Lineage: Bacteria; Bacillati; Bacillota; Bacilli; Caryophanales; Bacillaceae. The record is from RNAcentral.
AAGCAUGGGGACCUGAUGCAGCCAUGCCGCGUGUGUGAAGAAGGCCUUCGGGUUGUAAAGCACUUUCAGCGAGGAGGAAAGGUUGGCGCCUAAUACGUGUCAACUGUGACGUUACUCGCAGAAGAAGCACCGGCUAACUCCGUGCCAGCAGCCGCGGUAAUACGA